UUUUAUGGAGAGUUUGAUCCUGGCUCAGAGUGAACGCUGGCGGCGUGCCUAAUACAUGCAAGUCGAACGAUGAAGCUUCUAGCUUGCUAGAGUGCUGAUUAGUGGCGCACGGGUGAGUAACGCAUAGGUUAUGUGCCUCUUAGUUUGGGAUAGCCAUUGGAAACGAUGAUUAAUACCAGAUACUCCCUAUGGGGGAAAGAUUUAUCGCUAAGAGAUCAGCCUAUGUCCUAUCAGCUUGUUGGUAAGGUAAUGGCUUACCAAGGCUAUGACGGGUAUCCGGCCUGAGAGGGUGAACGGACACACUGGAACUGAGACACGGUCCAGACUCCUACGGGAGGCAGCAGUAGGGAAUAUUGCUCAAUGGGGGAAACCCUGAAGCAGCAACGCCGCGUGGAGGAUGAAGGUUUUAGGAUUGUAAACUCCUUUUGUUAGAGAAGAUAAUGACGGUAUCUAACGAAUAAGCACCGGCUAACUCCGUGCCAGCAGCCGCGGUAAUACGGAGGGUGCAAGCGUUACUCGGAAUCACUGGGCGUAAAGAGCGCGUAGGCGGGAUAGUCAGUCAGGUGUGAAAUCCUAUGGCUUAACCAUAGAACUGCAUUUGAAACUACUAUUCUAGAGUGUGGGAGAGGUAGGUGGAAUUCUUGGUGUAGGGGUAAAAUCCGUAGAGAUCAAGAGGAAUACUCAUUGCGAAGGCGACCUGCUGGAACAUUACUGACGCUGAUUGCGCGAAAGCGUGGGGAGCAAACAGGAUUAGAUACCCUGGUAGUCCACGCCCUAAACGAUGGAUGCUAGUUGUUGGAGGGCUUAGUCUCUCCAGUAAUGCAGCUAACGCAUUAAGCAUCCCGCCUGGGGAGUACGGUCGCAAGAUUAAAACUCAAAGGAAUAGACGGGGACCCGCACAAGCGGUGGAGCAUGUGGUUUAAUUCGAAGAUACACGAAGAACCUUACCUAGGCUUGACAUUGAGAGAAUCCGCUAGAAAUAGUGGAGUGUCUGGCUUGCUAGACCUUGAAAACAGGUGCUGCACGGCUGUCGUCAGCUCGUGUCGUGAGAUGUUGGGUUAAGUCCCGCAACGAGCGCAACCCCCUUUCUUAGUUGCUAACAGGUCAUGCUGAGAACUCUAAGGAUACUGCCUCCGUAAGGAGGAGGAAGGUGGGGACGACGUCAAGUCAUCAUGGCCCUUACGCCUAGGGCUACACACGUGCUACAAUGGGGUGCACAAAGAGAAGCAAUACUGCGAAGUGGAGCCAAUCUUCAAAACACCUCUCAGUUCGGAUUGUAGGCUGCAACUCGCCUGCAUGAAGCUGGAAUCGCUAGUAAUCGCAAAUCAGCCAUGUUGCGGUGAAUACGUUCCCGGGUCUUGUACUCACCGCCCGUCACACCAUGGGAGUUGUGUUUGCCUUAAGUCAGGAUGCUAAAUUGGCUACUGCCCACGGCACACACAGCGACUGGGGUGAAGUCGUAACAAGGUAACCGUAGGUGAACCUGCGGUUGGAUCACCUCCUUUCUAGA
This 1510-nucleotide ribosomal RNA is filed under the name Helicobacter pylori. Its description in RNAcentral is "bacterial SSU rRNA". It matches the Rfam family "Bacterial small subunit ribosomal RNA". The record is from RNAcentral. Lineage: Bacteria; Pseudomonadati; Campylobacterota; Epsilonproteobacteria; Campylobacterales; Helicobacteraceae.